GACGGUACCUGCAGAAAAAGCGCCGGCUAACUACGUGCCAGCAGCCGCGGUAAUACGUAGGGCGCAAGCGUUAUCCGGAAUUAUUGGGCGUAAAGAGCUCGUAGGCGGUUUGUCGCGUCUGCUGUGAAAUCCGGAGGCUCAACCUCCGGCCUGCAGUGGGUACGGGCAGACUAGAGUGCGGUAGGGGAGAUUGGAAUUCCUGGUGUAGCGGUGGAAUGCGCAGAUAUCAGGAGGAACACCGAUGGCGAAGGCAGAUCUCUGGGCCGUAACUGACGCUGAGGAGCGAAAGGGUGGGGAGCAAACAGGCUUAGAUACCCUGGUAGUCCACCCCGUAAACGUUGGGAACUAGUUGUGGGGUCCAUUCCACGGAUUCCGUGACGCAGCUAACGCAUUAAGUUCCCCGCCUGGGGAGUACGGCCGCAAGGCUAAAACUC
RNAcentral lists this ribosomal RNA (434 nucleotides) under uncultured bacterium. Its description in RNAcentral is "bacterial SSU rRNA". It matches the Rfam family "Bacterial small subunit ribosomal RNA", at positions 471 to 902 of the family's 1533-position model. The record is from RNAcentral.